GUUUAUGUUCUCCAUG
This 16-nucleotide small RNA is filed under the name Arabidopsis thaliana (thale cress). RNAcentral describes it as "ATSL192670". Lineage: Eukaryota; Viridiplantae; Streptophyta; Magnoliopsida; Brassicales; Brassicaceae. The record is from RNAcentral.